GACAGAGGGUGCAAACGUUGUUCGGAAUUACUGGGCGUAAAGCGCGUGUAGGCGGCCCUGCAAGUCGGGUGUGAAAUCCCACGGCUCAACCGUGGAAGUGCAUUCGAAACUGCAGGGCUAGAGUCCUGGAGAGGAAGGUGGAAUGCUUGGUGUAGAGGUGAAAUUCGUAGAUAUCAAGCGGAACACCGGUGGCGAAGGCGGCCUUCUGGACAGUGACUGACGCUGAGACGCGAAAGCGUGGG
RNAcentral lists this ribosomal RNA (242 nucleotides) under uncultured bacterium. RNAcentral's name for it is "partial 16S ribosomal RNA". It matches the Rfam family "Bacterial small subunit ribosomal RNA", at positions 524 to 765 of the family's 1533-position model. The record is from RNAcentral.